RNAcentral lists this ribosomal RNA (247 nucleotides) under uncultured bacterium. RNAcentral describes it as "partial 16S ribosomal RNA". It matches the Rfam family "Bacterial small subunit ribosomal RNA", at positions 87 to 334 of the family's 1533-position model. The record is from RNAcentral.
UUGACUUAGUGGCGGACGGGUGAGUAACGCGUGGGUAACCUGCCUCACACAGGGGGAUAACAGUUGGAAACGACCGCUAAUACCGCAUAACCCGCUAGGGCCGCAUGGCCCGGACGGAAAAGAUUUAUCGGUGUGAGAUGGACCCGCGUUGGAUUAGCUAGUUGGCAGGGUAACGGCCUACCAAGGCGACGAUCCAUAGCCGGCCUGAGAGAGUGAACGGCCACAUUGGGACUGAGACACGGCCCAA